Molecule: long non-coding RNA, 262 nt
Filed under: Rhinopithecus bieti (black snub-nosed monkey)
Lineage: Eukaryota; Metazoa; Chordata; Mammalia; Primates; Cercopithecidae
Description: lncRNA (ENSRBIG00000045158.1)
Source: RNAcentral
CUAAGACAACACCUGUUUUCUACCAUUGGGUCAAGGUAUGCCAGACUGAACUCUGCCUAGGCAGACAUUGGUGUUUUCUUUUUAAAAGUUUACUUCCAGACUGGCAGUGCAAUUGACACAUGGCCAGAUGUUUUAUCCUGCUGUGUUAAGUCAUCUUGACAUGUUGCCAUGAAAUGGAAACAACUGCUCGUUUUAAUAUUGCUCCAUAUCUUUAUUACAAGGUGGACCUCCCACCAUCAAGUGGAGCAAUCACAUCCUUGAG